Ostrinia nubilalis (European corn borer) is the source of this 278-nucleotide long non-coding RNA. RefSeq lists it as uncharacterized. Lineage: Eukaryota; Metazoa; Arthropoda; Insecta; Lepidoptera; Crambidae. The transcript is spliced from 2 exons. The record is from RefSeq and is a predicted model, not a curated record.
GCGCUAAACACUAUAAACAUUACAAACAAUGAACAAAAGCCAAGCAUAACAUUCCACAACUCCUCCACGUACUGUUACUCCACCGCCGUCUCAACAGCGAUCGGAAUACGCGACAUUUACUGAGAGAUUCCUGAGGGUGGUAGAACAGCAGGACUUGCAGACAUUGUGUGGAACGCAAAGCGGAAAGAGAAGAGACACUGACUGAAGCCCUGAAUGAACUGGGAAAAGGAUUGGAAGCUUUAGCAGAAGCUAAUAAAUGGAUUAAAGAUAAAAUAUUA